Molecule: long non-coding RNA, 3577 nt
Organism: Glycine soja
Lineage: Eukaryota; Viridiplantae; Streptophyta; Magnoliopsida; Fabales; Fabaceae
Exons: 2
Source: RefSeq, a predicted model, not a curated record
UCCGUUUCUCCGAUAGCCUAAUCUCCCUAUCCUCCCUCAUCCCUUCUCUCUCCAUCACAAAUGUCACUUUGCCACUGAUAGAACCAUUGCUUCUCCAUGACCAUCAAUGAGUUUCAAGAAAAUAACAAACAACAAGAACCCAACAUAGAACAAAAAAUCCAACACAGAUCAAAUUAUAAUAUUCAAUUUUUUUUUUCAGAUUUGAGAAAUAGAUACAAAAGCCAACAACAAAAUUAAAAAUACCAAACUCAAGAAACAAAUCUAAAUCAAAUUCUUUUAAAAGAAAGGCAACCGGGAGCAUCGCGAAAUUCAUUCCCAAAGGAUAAUGACGAACCACUGCGAAAGCUUCCCUUGCAUGUGAACGCGGACCAUCAUGUGCCACUGCUGCCGGCCACCCCCUUCAACUCAUCCCGACGCCUCAUUCCAACCAAAUCCAAGGCGAACAAAACCAUAUCACCAUUGCGAACAACAAAAACUCAUCGCAAACCCAGUAAAUCCCACUAUGAACCGUGAAGGAGACCGCAAACCAUCGCAAAUCGCAUCACAAAAAUGGUGAAACUUCCGCCGACUGCCCUAUGCCUCUGCAGCCACCGAAGCCAAAAGUGAAGGUGUGCAAGAUUGACCGUCAGAACAGGGGAGUCUGCUCAUAUCUGUUUCAAUCGAAGUCCAACAUUGGGAAAAGAAAUCUGUGUUAAGGCUUCUUCAGAUCUACAAGAUGAUGGCCAGAGGAGAUGUGUGGGAGGGUGGUGUGAAGAAAGAUGCUAGCUGGUUUGGCGCCAGAGAAGGUGGAGAUGGAAGUGGCUGGGUCUCUGAGGGGAAGAGAUGGAAGGGGUUCUCCAAAGGACAAAAUUAGGAAAAGGAAGAAAAAAGAAAAUUUUGAGCCAUAGGUCAAAGCCUUUGAUUGGCCAUUAUGUGUAGGCCAAUGAUAAACACCACAAUCUGAGGACCCUCCCACUUGCAGAGCCAGUGUGAGCCACUGAGAGAGAUUGGACGCCUUCUCAAGCAGGUCUUGUGUGAAUCUUUAUGGGCCCCUAAUAAUCACAUGACACACUAUUUGAUUACUCAUAAAGGUAUUCUGCACUCCUGUCGUUCUUUUGCACAAUUAUUUUGCAUUAGCUUGUAUGAAACUGGUAUCGAUCAUGUUGAUUAAAAGCUAAAAAGCUUUGUUGAAGCCACUGUUUAAACACAGUGAUCAGUUCAAGCUCUUCUCUCCUCCCCUAGGUCCUUAAUAAAAAAGUUGGAUUAUUCUGUUUUUCUUCCUCUGUCAGAGACAAUGGCAAUGACUUGUACUCGACUUUUGGUAAUUCAGUGUGAUGAAUCAUAUAUUGAUCAAAAGCACUUCACUGACGGGUCACAUCUUCAUUUCCUCAACCCCUGCUUGUGCUCUAUACAAGCAGUUAAUUGUACGACAGCUAAAACUUCGGUCAGUGAAACUGUCUUUCUUCACCUGAUAAUACCUCUGUUGUACCCGAAGUUUGGAAUUUUUUUUAACCUUGGAUUCAUGUCACCUCUAUGGAAUAAAAAACACACUAGAAAAUAGCACGUAUAGCGUGUACGUGGGGAGUUAUAGACUUAAAGAGAGAGGUUCAGUGGUGAAAAUCAAUCAAAAGUGAACCAAAACUAUUUCACUCAUUGUGCCCUCCCCGUUAAUCAGUUAAUAUGCCAACAAAGAAAAACUCAGGUUGCCUCAGUGGCAUUGAUAACUAGAACUAGGUGUUAUGAGAGAACUUAGAAGUUGUGAAUUACGUAAUUUAGAAUUUAUAGCAGAUUUAAACAACAUUCAUUGUGAGCCAUACUGCAUUGCCUUUGAGUGAUAUACUGUUUUACUUGCCUGCUCUUUAAGGAUAUCCUUGUCUCCUUUUUAGUUUAUGGUCUUUAUUUUACAUUUUCCCUUCUUUGUUUAAACAUUUUACCCUAGUCAGUUAUGCUGUGAACGUUUUCUCUCUUCCCUUUUUAUUUCUUUGCGUGUAGUUUAUAGCUUGCAAAAUCUUACAACUGCACACAACAGACCAUAUAAAACAGGUCUGGCCACAACCGGGGCUGGGGGGGACCCUGGUCUAUUGACGUGCCCAAAAUUUAAUUCUGUCUUCAGCUUCCCCAUUUUUACUUGAUUUUUCAUCCACAUGAGCUUGUCAUUACGCAAAUAAAUGCAUCAUCAGAUAUUAUUACCUGAAAAUUUGCAUGAAAACAAAAUUUGAAAUAUUAUGUCUUGGGAAGCAAAACCCAAAAUAUCCCCCUUGGAAUGGUGCUGUAGGCUGUAGCAGCAAAUCUAUAUCUGUAUAUAUAAUAUGAAUUUGGCUUCUCUAAAAUAAGUAAUAUAGUUGUUGACGAUACUUUCAUAAUUUGAUAUGCAUAUGUAUGUAUUAUUGACUAUUAAUUUUCUUAUUAGGGUUCGAAAUUACUUACCUAGUAAGAUAAGAGCAUGUUUGGAUUCCCAUUUGUAGUGUUUCCAACUCAAAUUGGAUAAUAAACUCAGUUUUGUGUCAUGUUUGAUUAUUUUCAAACGUACGUUCGUACACUUGUAUAUAUUUUGUCUAAAAUCAAGUUUUCAUAAAAGCAAGAUCAAAGCUUUUUUUGCGAAUCCAGUUUGCAAAAUAAAAACUACUCCAAAAUUAAGUUUGUUAACUUUAACCUAAACAUGCACUAAUGCACUGUGACUUUUGUUGUUGUUUGUUUGAGAUUACUUAUUUUACGUACAUGCUUACUUUAAAAUAGCAGGAUCCAUAUUAACAUAUAUUGAUUUAGAUGUGAGUGCUGCCACUACCAAGAGGUGGAAGCUGUGUUGCUUAACUAGAGGAGUGGGCUUAGUAGUAUGUCUUUAGUUGUGUUAUCUAUCAAGUCAAGUCAAGUCCACCCACCCACCAAAGCCAAAUAGCAGCACACCAUCAGUGGCAUCAUACCUUACUUCCCACGUAUAUUAUCAUGAGCCCUAGUGAAAAAUCUUAAGGCAGAAUCCCAACAGUGGCAAAUUGAUUCCUCAUUUCUGAUUUCCAAUGACCUAAAAUUCUCCACUCUUGGGAUGACGUCACCCAGCUAUCUUAGUGGGGCCCAUCAAACCCUCUCCAUACCUUACCCUCUGAAUCUGCCCUCUGGCUGCAGUCUCUUUUCUUUUCCCAUCACUACUCUCCACCUUCGGGUUUACUCAUUAUCACUCUUCUGGUGUGAAAGUUUGGUAAGAAAAUCAGGGAUUUCGUUUCUUUUUUUCUCCCUUCUAGUUUUUCUAUUAUUUCUCUUUCUUUCAUUUCCCUUUCCCUUUCCCUUUUAGGCAGGGUUUGAGGGGGGCAACCUGACAAGUGGGUUAAUUGGAUCAAUUAUGAGAUGUCGCAUCCACCUAUCCUUGUCUUUGGUGAUUUCUCUUCUGGUUGACAUCCUGUUGCAAUCACGCAUCGACACAUUAUGUUAAAUUCCUACUUUGUUUUUCACUACAGUUGAAAACAUUUAAAUGGUUAUGACACAUACAUACCCCAUAAAGAGUAAGAUGUGCCAUUGAUUUUAAUAAAGAAAAAAGAGAGGAAUGUAAGAUUAAAAAGUGUUGAUCAGUUUAUGUGAAAAAAGAGUAAAUGAUAUUUUCAAAACA